UGCAGAGUGUGGAGAAAACAUUUCCACUCACUAGGGCAGACAGGGACUUACUUUCAAAGCAAGAGUAUGAUGUUCAGGCAUGGUGUAUGCUUUUGAAUGACAAAGUUCCAUUUAGAAUGCAGUGGCCACAGUAUGCUGAUCUACAGGUCAAUGGUGUACCUGUUCGAGCUAUUAAUAGACCUGGCUCACAACUACUUGGUGCUAAUGGUCGUGAUGAUGGUCCAAUUAUUACACCAUGGACGAAAGAUGGAAUUAAUAAAAUUUUCUUGACUGGAUGUGAUGCUCGCAUCUUCUGUUUAGGGGUUAGAAUUGUAAAGCGGCAAACAGUUCAACAGAUUCUCAAUUUGAUUCCUAAGGAGUCUGAAGGUGAGCGUUUUGAAGAUGCUCUUGCUCGUGUUUGUCGUUGCGUUGGUGGUGGGAAUGCAGCAGAUAAUGCUGACAGUGAUAGUGAUUUAGAAGUUGUUGCUGAUGCUAUUGGUGUCAAUUUACGUUGUCCUAUGAGUGGUUCAAGGAUGAAGGUUGCUGGAAGAUUUAAACCCUGUGCUCAUAUGGGCUGUUUUGAUCUUGAUGUUUUUGUGGAGCUCAACCAACGUUCUAGAAAGUGGCAGUGCCCAAUUUGUCUAAAGAACUACUCAUUGGAAAAUGUAAUUAUUGAUCCUUAUUUCAAUCGGAUUGCAUCUAAGAUGAGGAACUGUGGAGAAGACAUAGCUGAAAUUGAGGUGAAGCCGGAUGGUUCCUGGCGUGUAAAAACAAAAAGUGAAAGUGAGCGUAGGGAGGUUGGGGAUCUGGCGCUUUGGCACUUUCCAAAUGGCUCUAUUUGUGCCCCUGUUGAGGAAGUUAAACCAAUAGUGGAAACAUUGAAGCAUGUUAAACAAGAAGGUACUUCUGAAGGUCAUGUUGGUUUGAAACUUGGAAUCAGGAAGAAUAGCAAUGGUUUCUGGGAAGUAAGCAAACCUGAAGAUAUAAAUACCUCUUCUGGUAAUAGAUUGCAGGGAAAGUUAGAGAAUCAUGAGCCAAAAGUUAUCCCAAUGAGUAGCAGUGGCACUGGAAGUGGUAGGGAUGGUGAAGAUCCAAGUGUAAAUCAGGAUGGUGGUGGGACUUUUGAUUUUGCUAGCAAUGGAAUUGAGCUUGAUUCUAUAUCAUUGAAUCUUGAUCCAACAUAUGGAUUUACUGACCCAAAUCCAUCUGCACCAAUUGCAAAUCCAAAUUUUAUUGUUCUUAGUGAUUCAGAAGAUGAAAAUGACCUACUAAUAUCGCCUGGGAAUGUAUACAGGGAAAAUCAAACUGAUGCUGGUGGCGUUAAUUUUUCAAUACCCCCUACUGGAUAUGUUGAUAACUUUCCUGAUACUUUGGGUUCUAUAGGUGCUGGUGGGAAUUCUUGCUUGGGUCUCUUUGCUGCCAAUGAUAAUGAUUUUGGAAUGCCCCUCUGGUCAUUACCUUCUGGAACCCAAGGUUCCCCAGGUUUUCAGCUAUUCACUUCAAAUGCAGAUGUUCCAGACACCUUGGUGGAUCUACAGCAUGGUCCCAUUAACUGUCAGACACAGAUGAAUGGCUAUACAUUGGCUCCGGACACUGCAAUGGAACCUUCAUCUCUGGUCCCAGAUUCUUCUAUUGGUCAGCCUGCUGCUGACCUCAGUGAUGGUUUAGUUGACAAUCCCUUGGCAUUUGAUAGGGAAGAUCCGUCUCUUCAAAUAUUUCUUCCAACAAGGCCUUCAGAUGUGUCAGUGCAAUCUGAUUUGGGAGACCAAGCCGAUGUGUCAAAUGGUAUCCGCACUGACGAUUGGAUCUCUCUUAGCCUUGGGGGCGGUGCCAUUGGUGGUCACAGUGAACCACCCGCUGCAAAUGGAUUAAAUGCAAGGCAGCCAGUACAGUCUGGAGAAGGUGCCGUGGAUUCUGUGGCUGACACUGCUUCUUUGCUUCUCAGUAUGAAUGACAGAAGAUCUGAGAAGGCAAGCAGGCAAAGGUCAGAUAGCCCUUUCAUCUUCCCUCGCCAGAAACGUUCUGUAAAACCGCGGUUGUAUCUUUCUAUCGACUCAGACUCGUCUGAAUAGAAAUUUUGGCCCCUAUAUCCAUGAAAUCCCUUGUGUACGUGUUUGAACCUUUUGGGUGUAGAAGGCCCCUUAUGGGAGGUUUGUUGAUCUGAUAUAGUUGACGAAUAUUGGGUCCUUUUAAAAGGCUCAAGGCAAGGAAAUACACUACAGAACUAAGUAUGCAAGAAAAUUCUGUUAAAAGUUUGUUUCUAGUGCCUAUCAUCCAAUGCUGAUUGUUAUAAAAGAGGCCCUUUCCCCUUGGUUCUUUUCGGAAAGCUGCAGGCCCAUUGCUGGCAAAUUGUACAGAAGAAAAUGGAUUAAUCAGAAAGUUGAUUUUAUCCUCAGGGGUUUAAAGUCUCCCCCUUAGUUACAAUUUUGUGAUGGAAAAAAUCUCGAGAAUGAUCAUGGAAGGUGAAAUGUUGAAAUUUGUCAGCAGUGAUUGAGGUUAUAAUCUUCUGUCACAAAUCAUUAAACUUGAAUUUUGGUUGUGUGGGCUUGUAUUAUAUUACGGGUUAUUCUAACUUGUGUGUGUUUCUUGUUAACAUAUUUCAAAGCUAUCAGCCUUCCAUCCCCCACUUGGCGGCCGUUAUCGGCUACAUAACAGGUAAUUCUGGGUAUUUCUUUGUGCGAGGUUAAGUUGGAGUUUAUGCAUGAUGUUUCCGAAGUAUAUAUAUAUAAAGGUACUUGCCCUUGCUACUACUGUCUGCCCUAAACAAGUUUAUAUGAUCAUCCUAGGAUACGAAAGAAAAAAUUUAUCUUGGAUGUACCAAGCGUCCAAUUCAUUUCUCAAAGACCACUACUGUCAGGCUUUUAGAUUUCUUGUGGUUAUCAGCCAAAAACCCUGAGCCACAAAAGAAAAUCCUACUAAAUUUCUUUUGAUUAUAGUAUUACAACAGGUUACAACAUUCAUGUGACUUAUCUCCAAAUGUUGCUGAUUGCUGGCUACGCCAGCAUGUCAGAUUACGACAUUCAAACAGCGAUCACAUAACAUGGAUCUGACUGAGUUGUGAAGGAGCUUUGGUCGGAAGAAAUCUUGUAAUGGUGGCAUAAAUUCAGGGUAACACAAGUUUAUCAUUCUCGACUAGUAGCAACAGGCGUCAAGUGCCUAAAGCUCUCGCAACCUGGGCGAUCAUGCAAGCUUUCAUGAAAGUAAAUGUCACACUCAAGGCAGAAGUACUCGUUGCACUUUGGGCAGGCAACACAAAGGCCAUGCUUAUUUCCUACGACAAAACCAAAAUGGGCAGUUACAGCAACACAGCAAUGAAAUCUGUAUGAAUGGAGGUGCAUUCCACUGACUAAGUAUUGAAAGAAGAGAUGAACAAGAUGCCCAUAUCUUGGGUACUCUCUUUUUUCCCCUAUUUAACCAGAAAAAAAAAAAGGAAGAAGAAGCUAUCAUUCGGCUGAAGGGCCCGUAAAUAGGUAAAUGAGCAUAGGCAUACGCUGCAGAACCAACAACACAACCGAGUAUGAAGUUAGUAGAACUAUUCAUAUUGCAACUAGCAAAACAACCACAUAGAAAAUCCGCAAAUGAUAUCCAUCACAGGUCCCACUAUAUUGAUUUCAGUCUUGCCAUAAAGCUUACUCAUGAUUGAAGGUUACUCAGAAAAUCUGUUUAUUUGUUCGGCUUAAAAAUAACAAGCCUACUGUCCUCUUUUACCACCCAAGGUUAGAAAAACGUAUUGGGAUUUAAGCUGGUACCCUAGCUAGGGUGUUUGUGUAUACAAGUAGCUUUCUCUGAAAGUAUUAUUUAAUAACUCAUAUAAAUUUAAAUCACCAAAUUCAAUUUCAGUAUUGCUAAUCAAAGCAAUCAAA
Mangifera indica (mango) is the source of this 3842-nucleotide RNA transcript. It is a transcript of the gene named E3 SUMO-protein ligase SIZ1-like, with no coding region annotated. NCBI's taxonomy places the organism in Eukaryota, Viridiplantae, Streptophyta, Magnoliopsida, Sapindales, Anacardiaceae. The record is from RefSeq and is a predicted model, not a curated record.